Molecule: non-coding RNA, 28 nt
Filed under: Rattus norvegicus (Norway rat)
Lineage: Eukaryota; Metazoa; Chordata; Mammalia; Rodentia; Muridae
Source: RNAcentral
UGUUUAGACAGGAAACACAAUGGGAAAC